AAAUUGAAGAGUUUGAUCAUGGCUCAGAUUGAACGCUGGCGGCAGGCCUAACACAUGCAAGUCGAGCGGUAGCACAGAGAGCUUGCUCUCGGGUGACGAGCGGCGGACGGGUGAGUAAUGUCUGGGAAACUGCCUGAUGGAGGGGGAUAACUACUGGAAACGGUAGCUAAUACCGCAUAACGUCGCAAGACCAAAGUGGGGGACCUUCGGGCCUCAUGCCAUCAGAUGUGCCCAGAUGGGAUUAGCUAGUAGGUGGGGUAAUGGCUCACCUAGGCGACGAUCCCUAGCUGGUCUGAGAGGAUGACCAGCCACACUGGAACUGAGACACGGUCCAGACUCCUACGGGAGGCAGCAGUGGGGAAUAUUGCACAAUGGGCGCAAGCCUGAUGCAGCCAUGCCGCGUGUGUGAAGAAGGCCUUCGGGUUGUAAAGCACUUUCAGCGGGGAGGAAGGCGUUAAGGUUAAUAACCUUGUCGAUUGACGUUACCCGCAGAAGAAGCACCGGCUAACUCCGUGCCAGCAGCCGCGGUAAUACGGAGGGUGCAAGCGUUAAUCGGAAUUACUGGGCGUAAAGCGCACGCAGGCGGUCUGUCAAGUCGGAUGUGAAAUCCCCGGGCUCAACCUGGGAACUGCAUUCGAAACUGGCAGGCUAGAGUCUUGUAGAGGGGGGUAGAAUUCCAGGUGUAGCGGUGAAAUGCGUAGAGAUCUGGAGGAAUACCGGUGGCGAAGGCGGCCCCCUGGACAAAGACUGACGCUCAGGUGCGAAAGCGUGGGGAGCAAACAGGAUUAGAUACCCUGGUAGUCCACGCCGUAAACGAUGUCGAUUUGGAGGUUGUGCCCUUGAGGCGUGGCUUCCGGAGCUAACGCGUUAAAUCGACCGCCUGGGGAGUACGGCCGCAAGGUUAAAACUCAAAUGAAUUGACGGGGGCCCGCACAAGCGGUGGAGCAUGUGGUUUAAUUCGAUGCAACGCGAAGAACCUUACCUGGUCUUGACAUCCACAGAACUUUCCAGAGAUGGAUUGGUGCCUUCGGGAACUGUGAGACAGGUGCUGCAUGGCUGUCGUCAGCUCGUGUUGUGAAAUGUUGGGUUAAGUCCCGCAACGAGCGCAACCCUUAUCCUUUGUUGCCAGCGGUUAGGCCGGGAACUCAAAGGAGACUGCCAGUGAUAAACUGGAGGAAGGUGGGGAUGACGUCAAGUCAUCAUGGCCCUUACGACCAGGGCUACACACGUGCUACAAUGGCAUAUACAAAGAGAAGCGACCUCGCGAGAGCAAGCGGACCUCAUAAAGUAUGUCGUAGUCCGGAUUGGAGUCUGCAACUCGACUCCAUGAAGUCGGAAUCGCUAGUAAUCGUAGAUCAGAAUGCUACGGUGAAUACGUUCCCGGGCCUUGUACACACCGCCCGUCACACCAUGGGAGUGGGUUGCAAAAGAAGUAGGUAGCUUAACCUUCGGGAGGGCGCUUACCACUUUGUGAUUCAUGACUGGGGUGAAGUCGUAACAAGGUAACCGUAGGGGAACCUGCGGUUGGAUCACCUCCUUA
This 1540-nucleotide ribosomal RNA is filed under the name Klebsiella pneumoniae. RNAcentral describes it as "bacterial SSU rRNA". It matches the Rfam family "Bacterial small subunit ribosomal RNA". Lineage: Bacteria; Pseudomonadati; Pseudomonadota; Gammaproteobacteria; Enterobacterales; Enterobacteriaceae. The record is from RNAcentral.